UCUUUGUCUAAAAGGAGAAGAAUUAGGCACUGUGGCCUGAUUGAUCCCAACUUGAUGUUUGUUUGUGUUGACAUUGAAAGACAUAGAGUCUGGACUAAACUGAGAAAUGGACUGGACUUGUCUCUGUUUCUCAUCAUUGAGGACUAUAUUAUAGACACUGUCAAGGGUAGGAGCAGGCUGCAUCAUCAGUAAGUUACUCCUUAUCCCCAUGUAUGCUUCAUUAAGGCCCAUGAGAAACUGAAACACCUUAUUCUCAU
This 257-nucleotide long non-coding RNA is filed under the name Nicotiana benthamiana. Its description in RNAcentral is "long non-coding RNA (NBEN_LNC013418)". The record is from RNAcentral. Lineage: Eukaryota; Viridiplantae; Streptophyta; Magnoliopsida; Solanales; Solanaceae.